GACGAACGCUGGCGGCGUGCUUAACACAUGCAAGUCGAACGGAAAGGCCUCUUUCGGGGGGUACUCGAGUGGCGAACGGGUGAGUAACACGUGAGUAACCUGCCCUUGACUUUGGGAUAACUUCAGGAAACUGGGGCUAAUACCGGAUAGGAGCUCCUGCUGCAUGGGGGGGGUUGGAAAGUUUCGGCGGUUGGGGAUGGACUCGCGGCUUAUCAGCUUGUUGGUGGGGUAGUGGCUUACCAAGGCUUUGACGGGUAGCCGGCCUGAGAGGGUGACCGGCCACAUUGGGAAUGAGAUACGGCCCAGACUCCUACGGGAGGCAGCAGUGGGGAAUAUUGCACAAUGGGUGGAAGCCUGAUGCAGCAACGCCGUGUGGGGGAUGACGGCCUUCGGGUUGUAAACCGCUUUCGCUCAUGACGAAGCUUUGUGUGACGGUAGUGGGUAAAGAAGCACCGGCUAACUACGUG
This 467-nucleotide ribosomal RNA is filed under the name uncultured bacterium. Its description in RNAcentral is "partial 16S ribosomal RNA". It matches the Rfam family "Bacterial small subunit ribosomal RNA", at positions 28 to 507 of the family's 1533-position model. The record is from RNAcentral.